Molecule: ribosomal RNA, 446 nt
Filed under: uncultured bacterium
Lineage: Bacteria
Description: partial 16S ribosomal RNA
Rfam family: Bacterial small subunit ribosomal RNA
Source: RNAcentral
CCUACGGGGUGCAGCAGUCGAGAAUCAUUCACAAUGGGGGAAACCCUGAUGGUGCGACGCCGCGUGGGGGAAUGAAGGUCUUCGGAUUGUAAACCCCUGUCAUGUGGGAGCAAAUUAAAAAGAUAGUACCCCAAGAGGAAGAGACGGCUAACUCUGUGCCAGCAGCCGCGGUAAUACAGAGGUCUCAAGCGUUGUUCGGAAUCACUGGGCGUAAAGCGUGCGUAGGCUGUUUCGUAAGUCGUGUGUGAAAGGCGCGGGCUCAACCCGCGGACGGCACAUGAUACUGCGAGACUAGAGUAAUGGAGGGGGAACCGGAAUUCUCGGUGUAGCAGUGAAAUGCGUAGAUAUCGAGAGGAACACUCGUGGCGAAGGCGGGUUCCUGGACAUUAACUGACGCUGAGGCACGAAGGCCAGGGGAGCGAAAGGGAUUAGAUACCCCUGUAGUC